This 65-nucleotide transfer RNA is filed under the name Phyllothelys sp. 1 JZ-2017. RNAcentral describes it as "tRNA-Asn". The record is from RNAcentral. RNAcentral also lists the same sequence under 1 other name. Lineage: Eukaryota; Metazoa; Arthropoda; Insecta; Mantodea; Hymenopodidae.
UUAAUUGAAACCAAAAAGAGGUUUAUCACUGUUAAUGAUAAUAUUGAAACUUAAUUCCAAUUAAG